AGCGGUAGCACAAGGGAGCUUGCUCCCUGGGUGACGAGCGGCGGACGGGUGAGUAAUGUCUGGGAAACUGCCUGAUGGAGGGGGAUAACUACUGGAAACGGUAGCUAAUACCGCAUAACGUCGCAAGACCAAAGAGGGGGACCUUCGGGCCUCUUGCCAUCAGAUGUGCCCAGAUGGGAUUAGCUAGUAGGUGGGGUAAUGGCUCACCUAGGCGACGAUCCCUAGCUGGUCUGAGAGGAUGACCAGCCACACUGGAACUGAGACACGGUCCAGACUCCUACGGGAGGCAGCAGUGGGGAAUAUUGCACAAUGGGCGCAAGCCUGAUGCAGCCAUGCCGCGUGUGUGAAGAAGGCCUUCGGGUUGUAAAGCACUUUCAGCGAGGAGGAAGGUGGUGAGCUUAAUACGCUCAUCAAUUGACGUUACUCGCAGAAGAAGCACCGGCUAACUCCGUGCCAGCAGCCGCGGUAAUACGGAGGGUGCAAGCGUUAAUCGGAAUUACUGGGCGUAAAGCGCACGCAGGCGGUUUGUUAAGUCAGAUGUGAAAUCCCCGGGCUCAACCUGGGAACUGCAUUUGAAACUGGCAAGCUAGAGUCUCGUAGAGGGGGGUAGAAUUCCAGGUGUAGCGGUGAAAUGCGUAGAGAUCUGGAGGAAUACCGGUGGCGAAGGCGGCCCCCUGGAC
Molecule: ribosomal RNA, 680 nt
Filed under: uncultured bacterium
Lineage: Bacteria
Description: bacterial SSU rRNA
Rfam family: Bacterial small subunit ribosomal RNA
Source: RNAcentral